UCAAGUUUGUUAGGUAUGCUUCUAAUGGCAACUUGUAAGAAUCACAGAAAUGUGAAAGUCUUGUGCUUUUCUAUGCUAUUCUGUUUGGCUGUGUAUGACCUCAUAGUUUCCUAGAGCUUGACUUUGUUGUUUGGAGCUCAACAAAGCAUGCUUAUUGCUCACGCAUACACUGCAGCUGCUUGUUCCUCUGGCAAGUACCUUUCGGUAUGAGGGGCCUGAGGUGAACAUGACAUUGGCAAGAUCAGAGGCUAAGAUACUUCAUGAGAAGAUUCACAAGAAGGCUUACAAUCAUGAUGAGCUCAUCAGAAUUGUUACUACAAGAAGUAAAGCUCAGCUUAAUGCAACCCUCAAUUACUACAACAAUGAGUUUGGGAAUGCCAUCAACAAGGUAUCCUACUUAUUUUCUCCAUACCUACAUACUACAGUAUUGCCAAAUUUAUAAUGGUGUCAAGUGGAUCUUGAUCUGGAACUUGAACUUAACUAAGCAAAGGAUUCACCUUGGACUCUCUGCUCUUUGGAUUACCUUCAGAAUUUGUGAAGUUGCAGUUUAUAAUGCAAUUGCACAUGCGUCUAAAAGCAAGAUAUUGAAGUGCUCCCACAAUAAUCCUUUACUUCUCUGGAUGUUUGGCAUUGCAAAUGUAUCUAGAGAUCUACUCUGCUACAAUGAGAUUCUUGAAUGUGACCUUUUGGAGAGUGGAAUGCCACGAUUAAGAUUUUCUCUUGAUACCGGCAGCUUCCCCCCACAUUUUCCUGUACUGAUAAAUGAGGACAGAUGAAAGAUCUUUUUCAUCUGAUACCUAGAUCCGUAUCCAUCAUUAUCAUAAGACAAAACUUGAAAAUCCAUAUUCUUUGGUCUCUAAUGUAACAAGAUUGAUGUUUUGAUAGUAGUGAAUCGUCCUCAGAUAGUUUUUAUUAUAAAAGAGAAGCUGAAACCUCCCUACAUAAAGACUAACUUGGGCUGAUGUCACUUUGAUCUGCAAGUUGCCUAGUUGAUUUCUCCUGAUAUAUGUGUUUAUGACCACUCUAAUGGUAUCGCUAGAUAUUUUUCAUUUAUAUAUGUUCCUAUUCUGUAUGUCAGUUGUUAGCUGUUGAAUUUCUUUCAAUUUCUUAGUAGAGAUUUUUAAGUUCAUUUUAAGACACAGCUUACUCUGGGAGAUUGCUUUGGUGCUGUAAUCAUCUGGAAACCUCUGUAUGCAGGAUCUGAAGGCUGAUCCAAAUGAUGAAUUUCUGAAACUGCUGAGAUCAGCAAUUAAGUGCUUGACUUAUCCAGAGAAGUACUUUGAGAAGGUACUGCGUCUGGCCAUCAACAAGCUGGGAACAGAUGAAUGGGCUCUUACUAGAGUAGUCACCACUCGUGCGGAAGUUGACAUGCAGCGGAUCAAAGAACAGUACCACAAAAGGAACAGUGUUCCUCUAGAUCGGGCUAUUGCAAAUGACACAUCUGGGGACUACAAGAAGAUGCUUCUCACUUUGGUUGGACAUGAGGAUGCUUGAGUGAGACUUGUGUCUCAGUGUUCCGUGCGAGGUAGAUUUAACUGGCUGCGAGAUGUAUUGUUAUGGUUGGAGUUGAGUUGAGAGCGUCUUGUUUAAGGUUUCGUGUGCGCUCGUGAUUUAUGUUUGGGGAACUUUUUGCUGGUUUGCUAUGGUUUUAAGAUAGCCAUGGAAAGGUGCAUUUAGCAUCAGUAUGGUCAUGAUAAGCUGGUGGUUUUGCACAUUUAUGGUGUGGAAUCCAACUAAUAACUGGGAAAAACGGGACUGAGAAGUGAUUGUCGAGGAGGUUAUGUUUAUCAAUCUUAAUCAACUUGCUUGCUUCUUCUCAACUUUGAAGUCGUAAAACAUAAUUGUCUUCGCUACUUAUGUGAGGGGUUGUCUUCAGAGAAAUGACGAGAGAUGUGAUAGAGAUAGCUUAAUCCUAUCCCUUGAAAGCCACACUCAAGUGUCACGGUCAAGAGGUUUCCAUGGCUAAAGGACCGUGCAUCUUCAAGGAGGACCUCCGAGAUCACCAUGAUUUCCCGCAAGAGAGCUUCCAAAACAUUCCAAGGGCGGGCGAUAUGAUAAUUGAGUCGAAGUCUAGAACUCUCCUAUCAUUAGUGUCCAUAGUUGGUAGAUUGAGUGGUACAACCUUGUCUGCUCGAUGAAAACUCGAUUAACGGUUGUAAUGGGAGGGCUUCUAGUAUAAGAAGGUUCCCUCCCCCUCAUUUGUAUCCAUCCAACCAUUUCAGUAAUCAAAAAGUUCUCAAUCCGAAUGAACCGGGUGAGCAAGCGAGCGAUCAAUCCGAGCUGGCUUAGGUGCCCCAAUGAUCCGUAACACAAGCAUAUGAUAAAAAGAACAAAGUUGUAACAGCAACAUGGUAUUAUUGAUGAUUGCUAUAUAUUGCUCUUUAUUUCUCAAGAAUCCCAGCAAAAUGAUCCUCUAAAGAUGUAAAGGAAUCUGCAAAUACCUCCAUUGGUCAACCACACCCAGACAACUGAAAAUUGAUAGCGUUAGAUUAUCCCAAUAUGCUUGAAGCCGAAGGGGUACAAGGAGGAGGCGGAGUACUCGAAAGAGAUGAUACCACCGGAGGGAGAGCUUUGCCUCCGUUUGCCAAGCAGUCGUCCUCGGCAUUGCCAAACCGCUCGACUAUUUCCAGGUCUGGGAAUGUCAGAGCUAAAUGAGAGUCACGGUUAAGGUGGACACUACAGAGCAAUGGACGGGCACAGGUUCUUUAUUUCAACCAAGAAAACCGGAAUUCCUAUUUUUUCUUGGAUAAACAAAGUAACAAAGCGUGACCCAAGACGGGCCCCCUCUAACCGGACCAGAUGGAUUUAUGGGCCACUUGGUUGGGCCGGCUCGACCCAACAGCAGGCUUAAGUUCUAUUUUGGAGAGCACCCUAGUGAUGGAAAUGCAAGGAAAAGGGCCCAAAAGUUGUGUUCGUUUGAGUUAAAAAUAUUUCCGCGAAUUAGGCUCCAUUUAGAAACCUUUUAUUUUUUUUUGGCUCUCCAAACUAGAAAGGAUAGAAAUUCAUUUAGUAACAUCAAUUAAUUUUUCUAUUCCCUCGAAUAGAAAAACGAUUGAGGAAUAGAUUUGGAAUAGAAAUAAGAAAUAGAAAAAAGUAACUUCUUGAAUUUAUAGAAAUAAGUCACUUUUUUUUUUCUUUUUUUCCCGUCUUCUUCCUUGCCGCUUGUCCCCCCCUACUACCGCCUCCCCUCGGCCAUCGGGCGGCUGUGGCCGGUGGACGGCAAACAAAGGACAGGAUCAACAACCGGCACAUAGUGAAGAAAAGAAAAAGAGAAAAAUAAUUUUAAAAAAAUUAUUAAAAAAUUAAAAGAAAUGCUACGUUAUAAGAAAAUUUAUGGAUUGUACUAAACGCAUUUAUAUUCUUUUUCUAUUUCGAGAAUAUAAAUUUUGUGUAGUUACCAAAAAUGUUCUUUUACUUAGAAAUUAUUCUAGAGAAUAAAAAUAGAAAAAGACUAUUUCUUAAAAAAAAAAAAAUUCUAGGAACAAAAAUGUUACUAAACAGACCUUUAGUUUCUUUGACUUUCAUGUGUUUGGUUUAUUGAAAAUAAUUUCUAUAGAAAACCAUUUAAGGUUGAACAAAAUAUUCAUACUUAAAAUAAGAAAAAUGAAUUCUCUAAUGAAAAUGAUGUUCACCCGUAUUGUUAUAUAAAGUAAAUGGCCUUUUCUAUUUUUAACAUAUCCCAAUUGUUCCAACCCCCCCCCCCCCCCCAAAAAAAAUACUUGUCUCAUAAAUAUUCUAUUCAUGAACAAUCAAUUCGUAAUUUAAUUUUAAUUUAAUCUCUCACAUAUUUCAGCAUUCAAAUUUGAAUUUUUUUUUCCCAUCCAACCAGCACCAUCUUAAAAAAAAUAAAAAAUAAAUCUCAAUACAUUUUUCUCUUUCCACGUCUAUUGAUUCAUUUUUUUUUUUGUGUUGUCUGUAUUUAUUAAUAAUUUAUUUCUCGUUCCUAAUUUAUUUGUUGCGCAUAUGCACAUUCGCGAGUGUUAUAUACCGAAGGUGCUUAACAUUAUUUCAAAAAUCUUAUAUAAAUGAUUAUAUAAUCACUUAAAAAAUUUCACAUGCUUUAAUUAAAUCUUUUCCUUAUAUGUUAAAGAGGAAAAAGCACCAAAGUCCUACAUUUUGCUUACUGUGAUAUAUUUACCUUUAUGAUGUGGACACAUAGUGGCAAACAAAGCUAAGUGACUCAAAUGAAAUAAAAACUGCGCUGUUUUGACUGGGAAGUAUGCUGACUUGGUGCAAAUUUUAGGGCUCUUUGUUCAUGUUCUUGUUGGGAAAUAAUCCAGCUGUUUGUGUUUGCUGUGUUUCUAUUCAAGGGACAGAACACACAUGACUAGACAUGGGAAACAAGCACAUUCAGGCCAACCAAAAAAUUGACUUCAUUAAGUGGUAAUUUCUCUGUGUGAUUCUCAUAAAAAACGUCAGUAGAAAGAAAGAGAAAAUACAUGAAUCUGGGCUUCAUUUGGUUACGAUACAAACGGAUAUGCUCAUGGUAAUUCGUCGAAUGAAAAAUUCUCGGAAAAAGAAAGAGAGAGAGAGAAUUUAGUUAAGUAGAAUGUUCGAGCCCAUUAAUUUUUUGAGUUGCAUUGAGAAUAGUCAUCUCCAUCAUAGGAAACACUUAAGCCCUCAUCGUUACUCACCGAUCAUCGCUACAGCCCUUGAGGGGCACAUAGAUGCCGCUGGAAUCGUGACCUACGGCUAAGUCUUAAAGUUGCUGGUAUGGUCACAUCCUUCAACUACUGACUACCGUUUGUCAUCCAUGCUUUAGCCAUAAUACUCUCCAGCACCAUCAUCAAAUCAACGAGAUAAUAUUUACAUUACGACGUGGAUCUUUUCAUUUUAAGUUAAGUGAUCGUCAUAUCAACUUUAUGUUGAGAUAAUAAUUGGGAUGGGACGUUGUCUUUUUCAAUUUUAAGCCAAGUGAUCACUACUUCAGCUCCAUUUGCCAUCAACAUCCCGUAAGUCUUUAAGUCCGAACCCUUAACAUAUUCAAUCGGACCGAUUUUCCUGCGUAGGACGCUCGAUUUGUUAUUGUCGGUGCGAGGGACCCUAGCCAUGCCCGAUCUCUCCCACCACAAAAUAUGAACGCGAUAAAAUAUUUUCUUCCGGGCGUGAGGAAAGGGAGAGCGUGUGAUCCAAAGUCAGAAUAGAAAAAUAAUUCAUUCAGAAAAAUACAAAUGAAAGUUUCUUCUUUUGAGGCCGGGCAGAGGCAGAUGGGCAUGAUGCCUCCAAAUGGAAAAGCAACAGGAGAGUAGUCAUUUACUUUUUGACAAUUGGCAACUAAUUAAAUAAUUAAUAAAAGGAAGUCGAACAAUUCAAACCAAAAGUUGGUGUGUACGUGGGAACACGCUUUCAGAUCCGCAUUUAUAGCAAUCAAAAUCCGCCCCCACCUGUCCCACUGUCCUAAUAAAAGAAAAAAAGAAGAAAAUAAAAUCAUAUCCUAAAGCUGAAUUUGGCAAUAACUUUAACUUAUUCAUAUCAUACCGAGCAUCUCCUCUUUUAGGUUCAAUAAUUCUCAUUAAUUAAUUUUCUAAAAAAUCCCAACUUUAAGUUCAAUCCAAAUUUACCCCGAACUUUAUUUAUCAAAAAAACUCAAUUUUAAGUUCGGUUCCAAAUCUACUACUCUAAACUUUAACUUUAAUUUCAAAUAUGUCAUUGUUAGUCUUUUGUCCAAAAAUAACUAUUUAACGUCUCUCUCAAAGAAUAAUUUUAUUUUGGAGAUAAUUUCCACGUUACCUUAUUAAUGUUGAUUUGUUACCGAUGUGGAAAUAUCACGCCAAAAGCCUCAUGGUGAUUUUGGACGGUCGGUUAACAAAAGUAAAUUUGAGAUUAAAUUAUACGUAGAUGAUUGCUUUUUCAAAAAAAAAAUUUGAGAUAACUUUAGGAUUAUGCUCAAAAUUAAUAAUUUCUUUAGAUCAAAAAAGAUCCAGGAUUGGAUAUAAAGUUGUAGACUUGUUUUUAGACAAAAAAAAAGAAGAAGCUCAGGUUAGAAUUGAGACAUGACAUAAAGUUUGAGAUUCUUUUUUGAGGUAGAAUUAGAUUAAAUCUAAAGGGUUAAUCCGGUAAUAAUCUUGAUUUCCCUUAAUAUUUCUCUGUCUGUCUUUGUAAAAGCCCGGCACAGCAUCGUCUUCGGCUCCUCGCGAUAUCACCAACUUGCUUCCGCACAGAGAGAGAGAGAGAGAAUGGCGACUAUUACGGUGCCACCGUCGGUUCCGUCUCCGGCUGAGGAUGCCGAGCAGCUCCAAAAAGCUUUCGCAGGUCUCCUGUAUUCAUCAUCAUCAUCGUCAUCGCUAAACUUUUCUCUUUCCAUCUACUUUCGUGUUGCUCUGAACAUUCGACUACGUGGAUCCUCUUCGAGCUGUCGUUUCGUGCUUCGAUCGUCGUCGGUUUCGGGAGAUCGGAUGCUCAUCUGGGUGUCUUUAUUUUUUUUUCUUUUUAAUCUUAGCACAAUGCAUGUCCUUCUCUGUGUUUGUUUCGAUGGAUCUAUGAUCCCGUGUCCUGCUGCGGAGUCUCUUUCUGAUCUGUGUCAUGGAUUGUUAGUUCCUUCUGAUCAAGAAUAGUUUUUAGCGCUAGACGUUCCUUUGUCCGCGUUGAUCUGAUCAGUCUUGUCUUACAUGUCCCCUCUUUGCUUCUGCUACUGGAUGAGCUAAUCAAAAACACAGAGAAGAGGCAAGAGCCAUUGCUUCCGAGUUCAUUUGACUGGUGUUAAGCACUUCUACACAUGGAGUUUGGUAGUGAUUAUUGAUUAUGCGCAUUUUGUAGGACGAGUUCAGUGGAAAAAAGUUCAAGGAUGAUGUUGAAUAAUUGAUAAAAGUUCUGAGACCAUUUGUGUCGUAAUCGCCAUUUUUCUUCUGGGUUUUUGUCAAUCACGCGGGCUGCUCUUCUAGCGUAUGUAUCCGCAGCGCAUUUUUGUACGUUCUGAUGGUUGUUUGUUUGUGGUGGGCGAGCAAAUUGUUUAGCUGUUGGAAAAUUUGUGUCCGCAGGAUGGGGGACGAAUGAAGAUCUGAUCAUAUCCAUACUGCCUCAUAGAAACGCAGCGCAGCGGAAAGUAAUCCGACAAACAUAUGCCGAGACAUAUGGGGAAGAUCUUCUCAAAGCGCUUGACAAGGAACUCUCUAGUGACUUUGAGGUCAGUUUUCUAUUCUGCAGUGUGAAGGAUCUCUCCAAAAGCCGGUUCUUGCUCAGCUGUUGUCCUCUUUGUUUCCCGUCUCUUAUUUCCAUCAAACGUUUAUCAGAGAUCUGUGCUUCUGUGGACCCUGGAUCCUGCGGAGCGUGAUGCGUUCUUGUCCAGUGAAGCUACCAAGAGAUUGACUUCGAGCAACUGGGUUCUCAUGGAAAUUGCUUGCACGAGGUCUUCAAUGGAGUUAUUCAUGGUGAAGCAGGCCUAUCAUGCUCGUUAUAAGAAAUCUCUUGAAGAAGACAUCGCAUAUCACACUACUGGGGAUUUCCGCAAGGUACUCCUAGCUUUUAAUCUCAUUGCAGGAUCAUCCUGUCGAUCAAAUAGAUAUGAAGUCAAUUUUCUGUAGUUGCACUGCGUGUGAAAAUAUAUGUUGCCUCUACUGUCUCAAACUGAUGCCUUAAAUACACAAGGCCAGAAGCUUGGAGAUUUAGGAAGAGAAAUACUAAAAUAUCUUUCAAGUUUGUUAGGUAUGCUUCUAAUGGCAACUCGUAAGAAUCACAGAAAUGUGAAAGUCUCGUGCUUUUCUAUGCUAUUCCGUUUGGCUGUGCAUGACCUCAUAGUUUCCUAGAGCUUGACUUUGUUGUUUGGAGCUCAACAAAGCAUGCUUAUUGCUCACGCAUACACUGCAGCUGCUUGUUCCUCUGGCAAGUACCUUUCGGUAUGAGGGGCCUGAGGUGAACAUGACAUUGGCGAGAUCAGAGGCUAAGAUACUUCAUGAGAAGAUUCACGAGAAGGCUUACAAUCAUGAUGAACUCAUCAGAAUUGUUACUACAAGAAGUAAAGCUCAGCUUAAUGCAACCCU
This 7976-nucleotide long non-coding RNA is filed under the name Eucalyptus grandis. RNAcentral's name for it is "long non-coding RNA (EGRA_LNC005312)". Lineage: Eukaryota; Viridiplantae; Streptophyta; Magnoliopsida; Myrtales; Myrtaceae. The record is from RNAcentral.